UAAAAAAAAAGUCGUAACAAGGUUCCGUAGGUGAACCUGCGGAAGGAUCAUUA
Molecule: ribosomal RNA, 53 nt
Filed under: Chromatomyia horticola (garden pea leafminer)
Lineage: Eukaryota; Metazoa; Arthropoda; Insecta; Diptera; Agromyzidae
Description: partial 18S ribosomal RNA
Rfam family: Eukaryotic small subunit ribosomal RNA
Source: RNAcentral